AAUCAACGCUGGCGGCGUGCCUAACACAUGCAAGUCGAACGAGAAAGUGGGGGCAACCCUGCGAGUACAGUGGCAGACGGGUGAGUAACACGUGAACAACCUACCCUUGAGUGGGGAAUAACACCGCGAAAGCGGUGCUAAAACCGCAUAAAAUCCUUUUAUCGCAUGGUGAAGGGAUCAAAAGCGCAAGUUGCUUGAGGAGGGGUUCGCGGCUGAUUAGCUAGUUGGUGAGGUAACGGCCCACCAAGGCAACGAUCAGUAGCCGGCCUGAGAGGGCGAACGGCCACACUGGAACUGAGACACGGUCCAGACUCCUACGGGAGGCAGCAGUGGGGAAUUUUGCGCAAUGGGCGAAAGCCUGACGCAGCAACGCCGCGUGGAGGAUGAAGGCCUUCGGGUCGUAAACUCCUGUCGAUGGGGACGAAAGCCUAGCAAUAGGAUUGACUGUACCCGUUGAGGAAGCCACGGCUAACUCCGUGC
This 480-nucleotide ribosomal RNA is filed under the name uncultured bacterium. Its description in RNAcentral is "partial 16S ribosomal RNA". It matches the Rfam family "Bacterial small subunit ribosomal RNA", at positions 32 to 508 of the family's 1533-position model. The record is from RNAcentral.